Molecule: transfer RNA, 72 nt
Filed under: Bacillota bacterium
Lineage: Bacteria; Bacillati; Bacillota
Also listed under: 1 other name
Description: tRNA-Arg
Rfam family: tRNA
About the family: Transfer RNA (tRNA) molecules are approximately 80 nucleotides in length. Their secondary structure includes four short double-helical elements and three loops (D, anti-codon, and T loops).
Source: RNAcentral
GCACCCUUAGCUUAAUGGAUAGAGCAUUCGACUCCGGAUCGGAAGGUGAGGGUUCGAUUCCCUUAGGGUGCA